Centrocercus urophasianus (Greater sage-grouse) is the source of this 4213-nucleotide long non-coding RNA. RefSeq lists it as uncharacterized. The record is from RefSeq and is a predicted model, not a curated record. NCBI's taxonomy places the organism in Eukaryota, Metazoa, Chordata, Aves, Galliformes, Phasianidae. The transcript has 4 exons.
GAGUGUUUGGUGAGUGUGUUCUUCUUCACUUUCUUCUUCACAACCGGCACGUUUCUAGCGCAAAGAUUCUGCCAGUAUAAACCUGACUGAUUGCUUUUGAAAUCCUUGACAGUGAGAUUUGCUUUUGUUUAAAGAAUGAGUAAUUUGAAAGAAAGGGAGGUAAAAAGCCAAUAUCAGUGGAUGAUCACAUUACUGAGUGGACCAGGUUUUAGCUACUUUUGGUCUCUCAAAAUUAUACUCUGAAGCAAAACAUCAUUUCUAGCACGGAAUUGUAUGGUUAGGCAGUGACAAAGUAUACAUUCCUGGCUUGAAUGUCUAAAUACAAACAUUUUCACAAAUGGCUUUUCUAUUUUGUGGUCUCUCCAAAUUCUGUUUGUGAGUGGUUGUUAUUAUUUGCUGUGGAAGUUUUGAAGUUUAAAAUGAAAAAUGAGAACGCUGUGAUUGUAGGUGCUUUGAAGUACAAUAGAGUUCGAGUACAGUACUCUGUUUGCUGUAGAAGCAAAGCAGUAGCUUGUAGUUUCAUGUUUUUAUCCUUUUUCUCCCCUCAAGGUCCUCCUGUGUGGAAUGCAGGAAAUUGAUUUAAAUGACUGGCAGAGGCAUACCAUCUACAGGCAUUAUACCAGAACCAGCAGACAGAUACUGUGGUUCUGGCAGUUUGUAAAAGAAAUAGAUAACGAAAAGAGAAUGAGACUUCUACAGUUCGUUACUGGAACAUGCAGAUUACCAGUGGGAGGAUUUGCUGACCUCAUGGGGAGCAAUGGACCCCAAAAAUUUUGUAUUGAGAAAGUUGGGAAGGAAAACUGGUUACCUAGAAGUCACACCUGUUUCAAUCGCCUAGACCUUCCACCCUAUAAGAAUUACGAGCAGUUGAAGGAGAAGCUGUUAUUUGCAAUUGAAGAAACAGAAGGAUUUGGACAGGAAUAGCUGUGAUUUGCACCUUGAAGAAUGUGAACUCCACACGAUGUUCUUCUUCACUUCUUCUGCUUGUUGCACACUUCAUUGUAAAGUAGACUUGACUUGGAUUUAUUUAACAACACUAGUGUGUAAGUCAAUGGAUGUUAUCCUGAGGUUUUAUCCACAUUAACUCUGGAUUUCUACUGAGCACUUUCAGAAAUCAAAAGAGCGAUCAGAUAUGGCUAUCAAGGAGUUAUGACCCAAGUAGAGAUUUAAUACAGCUUUGCGCUCUGCUUUGUUUUACCUUUCAUUACUUAGAAUGUGUCCUUAAUGACUGACAGGUUUUUUAAAAUAGUUUUGUCUUUCCUUUUUAGUAGCAUAUUUUGCUACUGAUGUACUGGGAAGUUCAUUAGUAGCUGCAAUGCUGCAGCAACAUCAUAACCUCUUUACAGCAGUGUUAUUAGGCCGACUUGUGACCGUCCUCUGCCUACUGUGAGCAAAUUCAUCGCUUAAGCUAUUUUUUUAACUCAAGUGUGGCUGGACUGUUUUUCCUUGCCCGGAGUCUGCUCACGUGCCAGUGGGACUCAGACUGCUGUUAAGGGGAUGUCAAACUGUGGCACAAAUCCAGGGCGUAGCUUUGUUUUGUUUUUCUCACAGUCUUGUGAAUUUCAGCAAAAUAAACGUCUGCCCAAAGUUGCUGGAACGUUUGCUUGUGCCCUCCGAAGAGUUCUGAUCUUUUUCUGUGUAACACAUCUAACCUCUACAACUGUGUUAACGCUGUGGUUCUUCCCUUGUUUUGCAAAAGACGAGACCGCCUGGGAUUGCACUGAUUCAAUGUAGAUUCCCAUUUGCAGACUGAUGUUUCUUGUGGGAAGUGUUAAUGGACAUUAUACUCAGUGUUAUUCUUCCAUGUUGCAGUCAGUUUUCUCUGAAGACUUUGUUGGUUUCUCAGGAAGAGGUACAAAAUAGCUGGAUUUUAAAAAUGAUAAUACUUAUCAUUUUUGGUGAGGAACUGAUAAUGCCACAUUAGCUAAGAUCAGAGGACUUGGAAGUUUAUACACGGAUUCCAGACUUUUGACGUGUUGGAGCAUCAGAAAACAGUUCUAUAAAGAUUAGAACAAGUUCUUGGGGAAGAUUUCUGUGCUAGGUCACCCUAAGCUGCUCACACAGCUAGUAACUUUUGUAAUAAGUCCUUACUGGAUUUAUAGCAUGUUUUGCUUCCUUUUCGAAUCUGUUAAUAUUCAGUUCUCUUCUGGUUUACAGUGACAUUUUAUUGCUCCUUUAGACUGAAUGCACUUUUCAGGUAUGGUCAGCUCCUUCCUUAUCUGAAGGGAGGAAAGGAAACGUCUGUGAGUCGAUGUGGCUGUUAGCCGUAGUCAGAAACGUGGCUCUUGAAGUAGCACAGGUUAAAGCAUAACUGUAGCUCAGAGCACUGGGACAGCAGCAGCUGUUCUGAAGAGGCUUCUUAUGCUGGAGCUGAACCAGGACAACGGGAAACCAGAACCGAAUCUCCAGUCUUGAAGAGAGCAUUUCCUUCCUUCUGUCUGAACUGCCAGAGGGAAAAUCUGAUUCAGGCCUUUUAAGAACCAAGGCAUUACAGUUUUAACUGACCUUCUGAAAGAGAUUUUCAAGUUGAAGUGAUACGUGCUCACUGGAAAUAAGAAUAAUAAGACCUUAGAGAAAAUGCCUCCUUUUUUCAUGUGUAUUCUAGCAAGAGCAGUGGGAAAGAGUUUCUGAUGAUCCAGGGAUUAUCCUCUUUCACCUUUUCACUGGCGGUGAAAGCUAGCCUUGCUUCACAGUUUUACUAGGAGGAAAAUAUGCCAAUUUCAAGACAUUUGAUGGCUAUUUUACCAUAUACAGCUCACAAGGAGAAGAAAAAAGCCUUAUAAAUAAUCUGUUUAUAUUAAUUCUUACAGUGAAAUCUAGUUAUCUAACAUAUUUACAAGAGAGAUUGAAUUAAACAGGAUAAUGCAAAAUUAAGCUACGAAACAUAGUUUGUGUUCUGCAUAAUGAUUUAUGAUUCAUGUAGGGAAGCUAGAAAUGUUGGUAAUGUAUAAAUAUCACCCAAAAGGCUUUCAGCCCUAUAUUUUUAAAAUAAAAAAUAGUUAUAAUUGAAAUAGCUUAGCCCUAGUUCUAUAGGGUAUGGCUGUUUGAUAUUUUUAUGGUUGAAAUGUUUAGUUCAGGAAAAAGGUAAAUGCUUGUAUAUAUUUUUGCAGUCUCGGAUUCCACUUGCUCCAUUUUUUCUUUCUUUAAUUUAAGUGGCAUGUUUGUGUCUUUCCUGCUGUAUUAGGAUGGGGAGAGGGGGCUGGAUAUCCCAAGCACCAGAAAUGAUUUUAGAAUACUACAAACAAAGAAUCAGCUGGGAGAAAAAGUCUGUGAAACAUUGUAUUUGGCCAAUAAUUAAAGUAAGCUAGUACUAGCUUGAUGAAUUGGCAAUGUUCUUCAAGUCUGAGCUAAAGUUUACGUAAACCUUUUACUUUGUAAGCUAACAAGCCUGUUAAUUUUUUAUAGCGUGUUCUGUAGAAAUAAAAAGUUGUCAAUAUGAACCAGCGGUGCACUUUUCUGUUCUUUAUGGGGAUGUGGUGGAAACAUCACGUGGAUGACCCACAGCAUCUGCUAUCCCACAUAACAUUGGGCUUCCAGCAGAGGUGAAUGAAUUUGUCUCCCACUGCUCCUCCCACCACUGCUUGAGCAGCCUGAGCUGUGUGAAUUGAUACUGCAUAACAAAUGCGUGCUCAUAUGUAGCUGCCAAUUAAUCCUAAUUUUCAAGCAUUAAAAUAACUUCUAUUUAGAAUUUUGCCUUAUGAGAAUGACAUGAAAAAAUGAACGGAAUGCUGAGCUGCUGAUCUAAAGUAACAAAGCCUUAUUGCUCCAGUAGCUCAGGAAGCGUUUGUGUAUGAAACUGCGCAGUAAAUGCGCUGUGUCUUCAUCUGAUCUAGCACUGAAGCUUGUAUUUUAAUGCAUUUAUUUGUGUUCCAGAAAAAGAAAAAAAAACUGAACAAAAAAAACUGUUUCAUUUUUCUUGUUUGCGUUACCACUACAUGCUGCACUGAAUUUGUGAUUUCAACUCUUUGUUAUAUUGGUAUCUCCAGCCCCCUUUCUUGCGGGUGUCUUUUUCAUUUUCUUCAAGAAUCAUUGUUUGUGUAUAUAUGCUCUAGUGAACUAGGACAUAAACUGGGAUCAGCAGCACUGGAUUGUAAAAUACUGUACUGAAAUUCAUUGUCGAAAUUUCCUUGUAUUGUAAUUUCAAAUACUCAGGUAACUGUAACAGUAUCUCAGUAAGUCAAAUACUUUUAUAAAACGACUUAAAGAGAUGGUA